Long non-coding RNA from Nothoprocta perdicaria, 261 nucleotides. RefSeq lists it as uncharacterized. The transcript is spliced from 3 exons. The record is from RefSeq and is a predicted model, not a curated record. NCBI's taxonomy places the organism in Eukaryota, Metazoa, Chordata, Aves, Tinamiformes, Tinamidae.
UCCACAGGCCUGGCGCGCCGCGGGACGAGGGCCGCGUCCGGGGCCCUGCAGCCGACUGACCGACCAGGCAGCUGUUAAAACACGCGCAGCAACAAACCCGGACUUGUUACAAGGCUAACUUGGUCACCCAUGUGCAACUCCGUGCAAGGCCAGGUCCUCGGGCCGCUGAACCCACAGCAUUUACCCUAAAAUUAGAUGCUGCAGCUUUUAUUGGCAUUAACAAGGAAUCAAGCAGACAAACUCAGUGUGGUUAAUAUGCUA